GUGGGGAAUCUUGCGCAAUGGGCGAAAGCCUGACGCAGCCAUGCCGCGUGAAUGAUGAAGGUCUUAGGAUUGUAAAAUUCUUUCACCGGGGACGAUAAUGACGGUACCCGGAGAAGAAGCUCCGGCUAACUUCGUGCCAGCAGCCGCGGUAAUACGAAGGGGGCUAGCGUUGCUCGGAAUUACUGGGCGUAAAGGGCGCGUAGGCGGACAGCUUAGUCAGAGGUGAAAGCCCAGGGCUCAACCUUGGAAUUGCCUUUGAUACUGGCUGUCUUGAGUUUUGGAGAGGUGAGUGGAACUCCGAGUGUAGAGGUGAAAUUCGUAGAUAUUCGGAAGAACACCAGUGGCGAAGGCGACUCACUGGCCCAAUACUGACGCUGAGGCGCGAAAGCGUGGGGAGCAAACAGGAUUAGAAACCCUGGUAGUCC
Molecule: ribosomal RNA, 425 nt
Filed under: uncultured bacterium
Lineage: Bacteria
Description: partial 16S ribosomal RNA
Rfam family: Bacterial small subunit ribosomal RNA
Source: RNAcentral